UGAGGGAGCGCGGGCGGCCUGAGCAGGAGGUGGCGGGCACCGGAGCUGGCAGAGCUGGAGGCUGAGGCCGGGUGGCGAUUCCUAGGAGCAGUUCAUUAGCUCCUCGAGAAAAGAGACUGCCAUGACACUGGACACUUGGGGAAAAAAGAAACAAUAAAAACCACAGAACAAUGAAAUAUCUUCAAUGUGCUGAAAGGAAAUUAAGGAAAUAACAGCAAACUUAGAUUUCUAUACCCAGUGAAAACAUCCUUCAAGAAUGAAAGCGAAAUAAAGACAUUUACAGAUGAUGCUUGAACAAAAACAUCCCUAAGCAAUGUUUCCAAUAUAAUUUUUUUCUUAUGAUGAAGAAAUAUUAAGAAAAAAUAAGUGAAC
Molecule: long non-coding RNA, 372 nt
Organism: Equus quagga
Lineage: Eukaryota; Metazoa; Chordata; Mammalia; Perissodactyla; Equidae
Exons: 4
Source: RefSeq, a predicted model, not a curated record